Molecule: ribosomal RNA, 858 nt
Filed under: uncultured marine bacterium
Lineage: Bacteria
Description: bacterial SSU rRNA
Rfam family: Bacterial small subunit ribosomal RNA
Source: RNAcentral
GCAAGUCGAGCGGAUGAAGGUAGCUUGCUACCUGAUUCAGCGGCGGACGGGUGAGUAAUGCCUAGGAAUCUGCCUGGUAGUGGGGGACAACGUUUCGAAAGGAACGCUAAUACCGCAUACGUCCUACGGGAGAAAGUGGGGGAUCUUCGGACCUCACGCUAUCAGAUGAGCCUAGGUCGGAUUAGCUAGUUGGUGAGGUAAUGGCUCACCAAGGCGACGAUCCGUAACUGGUCUGAGAGGAUGAUCAGUCACACUGGAACUGAGACACGGUCCAGACUCCUACGGGAGGCAGCAGUGGGGAAUAUUGGACAAUGGGCGAAAGCCUGAUCCAGCCAUGCCGCGUGUGUGAAGAAGGUCUUCGGAUUGUAAAGCACUUUAAGUUGGGAGGAAGGGUUGUAACCUAAUACGUUGCAAUUUUGACGUUACCGACAGAAUAAGCACCGGCUAACUCUGUGCCAGCAGCCGCGGUAAUACAGAGGGUGCAAGCGUUAAUCGGAAUUACUGGGCGUAAAGCGCGCGUAGGUGGUUUGUUAAGUUGGAUGUGAAAGCCCCGGGCUCAACCUGGGAACUGCAUCCAAAACUGGCAAGCUAGAAUACGGUAGAGGGUGGUGGAAUUUCCUGUGUAGCGGUGAAAUGCGUAGAUAUAGGAAGGAACACCAGUGGCGAAGGCGACCACCUGGACUGAUACUGACACUGAGGUGCGAAAGCGUGGGGAGCAAACAGGAUUAGAUACCCUGGUAGUCCACGCCGUAAACGAUGUCAACUAGCCGUUGGGUUCCUUGAGAACUUAGUGGCGCAGCUAACGCAUUAAGCUGACCGCCUGGGGAGUACGGCCGCAAGGUUAAAACUCAAAUGAAU